Molecule: long non-coding RNA, 350 nt
Filed under: Gallus gallus (chicken)
Lineage: Eukaryota; Metazoa; Chordata; Aves; Galliformes; Phasianidae
Source: RNAcentral
GGGGCUGGCUGACUUUGUCCACACACAACUACAGGCCUGGGGGCAGCAUGAGGACAUCCUUUCACAGAGGCAGCAAAUGAAGAAGAGAAAAAGGAAGCCACCUCAGCACGUUCUAUCUUCUGCUUUGAUCAAGACCAUGCAAAGAGAUAUACGGGAAUUGCUAAGUUAGGGCCUGAACCAAUGAUUGAGCACCUGGUGAACAGACACAGCCAGCCCUGGGAGCACAGGUGAAUUGCUUUAGACCAUCAGCCUCAUGAGAAGCCUCAUUUAAGAGCUGGCUACCACAGAGGAAGAAUAUUUACCUGGAGAUCUCUCCUUUUGGAGUAUCAGAGGAGCCCUGAUCCUUGGGA